RNAcentral lists this non-coding RNA (204 nucleotides) under Flavobacterium branchiophilum. Lineage: Bacteria; Pseudomonadati; Bacteroidota; Flavobacteriia; Flavobacteriales; Flavobacteriaceae. The record is from RNAcentral.
GCUUUGCACCCGAAUUGAGGUUGUUGUUAUUUCUUACGAAAAAAAAUAACAAUAUUAAAAGGGAAUCAGGUGCAAUGCCUGAGCUGUACCCGCAACUGUAUGCUAAAAAGCUUGUUGUAAUCUACAAAACCACUAUCAAAAAAAUGAUGGGAAGGUACACAACAAGACGCAAGCCAGGAGACCUGCCCAUUUCAAAACGAGUAU